GACUAGGGCAGGGGGGGCCUAAUCCCGGGGAUUUUCAAUCCCCGUUUGCAGGUUCGAGUCCUGCGCGGGUCA
This 72-nucleotide transfer RNA is filed under the name Anaerolineae bacterium. Its description in RNAcentral is "tRNA-Glu". Lineage: Bacteria; Bacillati; Chloroflexota; Anaerolineae. The record is from RNAcentral.